This 2722-nucleotide long non-coding RNA is filed under the name Malus domestica (apple). RNAcentral's name for it is "long non-coding RNA (MDOM_LNC018010)". Lineage: Eukaryota; Viridiplantae; Streptophyta; Magnoliopsida; Rosales; Rosaceae. The record is from RNAcentral.
AGGAACCUAAUGGAUAGUACACCAAGUAAGGUAGAGAUUGAAGAAACAACAGAGAUGAGUAAGGAUAAUUAAAUGGUUUAAUUAUUUAUGGCAAGGAUUAAUUAAUAUGUUAAUUAAUCAAACGAAUAAAGUUCGUUAAAGACCUCGGAUUAGUUUUGGGCCUCAAGGCCCAAUGGGCUUCGAACGUCAAGCCCAUUGACUUAAGUUGUAUGACAACUUAAUGACUAAUAAUUCACGAAGGCUCAAACAACCCAAUAAAACCCUAUGGCCGGCCAUAUUGAUAAAGGAGUGGGUUUUGAACUUAUUACAAGGUUGCCACUCCAAUGAAAGUAGGUAUAAAUAUGACUUUUCAGCCUUUUCUUCAUUAGGGUUUCUUUUGCAGAAAAGAUGAGAACACAAGCUCCCUUUUCUCUCUAAGAGGCCGGCCACCCUAGAGAAUUCUAGCUAGCAAUCUUACUUCCUCUAGGUCACUCAUCUCUUCUUCAAGUCCUUCCUUGGUGUGGAGAUUUAGAAGUUCUCAACUUUGGGAACUUGGAGAAUCCUUUCAACCAUCUUCAUCCAAGAAAUCCAUGGAGCUAAGAAGCAAGGAAUGAAGGCCCUCUCCUUGGGUGAUUAGCCUUUACUUAUGCAAAGAGGAAUCUUCAAAGGUAUAAAGUUUCUCAACUCACUUUGUUUUGAGUUAAGUCUUGGUUCACCCUUCUACUAGGCUUUGAAUUUCAUGGGUAAUGUUUUGUUUUUGAGUGCAUACAAGCAUGAUUCCACCUUUAAAUGUUAAUUGUGUGCCAUAGAUGUUGCUCAAAUGAACAUGUUUUUCACAAAAUUUCCUUCAAGUGGUAUCAAAGCCUAGGUCUAGUAGUUGGUGAAUCCUUUUGGGUUUUGUAUUUUCAUAGUUUAUGAUUUGAAUGUUGUAAUUGUUACAAGCUUUAUUCUUGCUUCUUUGAAUGUAAAUUUUGUUAGAAAAUUUGCCAUCUCAAAUGUUGUAGAUGUAGUUCAUAUGAGCAUGAAUUUUGGAGCUAAAAUUUGGUGCCAUGUUUUUGGGGAAAUUCGGCCAAAUCCAAAGGGUGGAUUUUUGGGUUCAUGUUUGUCUUGUUAAAAGUGUUUUAAAGUGACAUUAGGAACCCCUAAGUACCCUAGUAUGGUAAUAUGUUUUUUUCCUUAAGUUUGAGAGUUUUUGGGGUGUCUUUGGGUGAAAAAUGUUCAUGGUGCUCUUAUGGGUUUUCAUGGAUGUUUUUUUCCUCAAAUGUUGUAAAAGAGCAUAAGCUCUUCUUUAAUUUGAAGUACUUCUUUCUUGCUUUAUUUGAUAUGCAUGAAAAUGAAGUAGAGGGUCCAACGCCCAAUAAGAAAACAUGCCUUAAUGUGAUUAAAUGCGUAACUAAAAUCAAUCACCAUCCCUAGACCGAGAUUCAACACUAGGCUCGUGUUGGAUCGAAUCAAAGGUUCAUAGUCAUCCUAAGGCCCUAAGGCAACUAUAUAGUCCAUCAAUGAAUGCAAACCUUAUUUUAGUAGUACCAUAUACUCUUGCUUUAAAAACCGUUUUACAAGCAUAGUGGGAGUAUCAUAUACAACUAAAUCAAUCACAUGGACCAAUAGUUGUAAUAGGACCAAAUUGUUUUGGUAUGAUUAAAAUGCAUGCUUAUAUGUGAUGAGACCUAAAACCCUCAACCAAACCAUUAUUAAGUUGAUAAGCGUGAGAGUGCUUUGAACACUCUUUUGUGGUCUUCCACCGUGGUAGGCUCCGAUCGUUUGUGACUCUUGUACGGACUUCACCCUAUCAUGGGGGAGUACAAAGUGUGUGCUUACACUCAGAAGGAGUUCUAUAUGCAUACACGAUGUUGUGUAGGCAACGAGAAUGAUCAACAUCAUAUGAUUGUGAGGUUGUUCUUGAACCCCUACAUGAACUUGCAUGGUGGGAAUGACUUAACUAAGUGCAAUGGAGCCAACAUCAUAUCAUUGUGAGGCUUCAAUCUCUAGAGGCUAAAUAAGAUGGGUACUUGCAAGAGAUGCAAAUGAGUAAGCGUACUUUCUCAUUAUUAUUGAUGCUAGCCAACAUCAUAUCAUUGUGAGGUGGGCUUGGUAAUGAUGAGUCUCCCAUACCCUACUAAGAGUUUCCUCCAAAACUCUCGAAUUCCGAUGAGGGAUAUGGAAUUUGCCAAAAAUAGUGGGUGGUGCUAUUUGAUUUAAAGACCCGGAUCAAAUGGGUUAAAAUCAAUCAAUUUAUAUUCAUUAUGUAUUUAUUUACCAAUAUAUUUGCAAACGCUAUGCAAAACUUGGCAAAGAAAAAGCCGAAAGCUUUAGUUUCUGGCCUUGGUACUACAAUCCCAUAGAUUGUCUUUAAUGGCUUGUAUAUGUACCUAUGUAGUCUCAUCCUCACAAUCUUCCUAUUGAUAAUGUAUCAUUGGAAGAACAUGUUAGAUAAGUCUAUCAUAAAGAGGACAACACUUUUAAUGUCAUAAUUCUUCAAUUACAAAUUGUUGUAUGAAGAAAUAAGAGUUGCUUUGAACAACUCUUAGUUAAUGCAAAUAUUAGUGCUUGUUUCUUUGUUACAUGAACAAGGAACUUGAGAAGUAAGCACAAGGGCAUGGACACUUUAUGUGCCAUGAUUCUUCACUUACAAAUUGUUGUAUGAAGAAAUGAGAGUUGCCUUGAACAUGUUGGAAGUAUGCCCACAAAGCCACUCAUUUGAUGUAAUAGCUUUUUGGAAUACUUAAUGUAUUAAACUUUU